Passer domesticus (house sparrow) is the source of this 1014-nucleotide long non-coding RNA. RefSeq lists it as uncharacterized. The transcript has 4 exons. The record is from RefSeq and is a predicted model, not a curated record. NCBI's taxonomy places the organism in Eukaryota, Metazoa, Chordata, Aves, Passeriformes, Passeridae.
CACCCUGGAUCAUUCUGUAUGGAUUGUGGAACUACAGUGUGUAGAAACAGUGAGGCAGCCAGCUGCAAAAGCGUGGGGAGUAGCUGCAGUGCGGGUUGAGGGAGGCAUUCAGGCUCAGGGAAUUAGGAUAACAGGAAUACUGCAUUAGGACAAGGAUGCACUCUCUGCACAGCAUCUCAAGUUCAGUAAUUUAGAAUCUGCCAAAAUUUCCUAGCUCAAUUUUCUCAUGCUGAACCAGUCCCAUAAUACUUGGAUAAUGGCAGCAGCAGUAAGCAGCACAGGCACAAGCCUUUUUCCUUCAUGUAUCAGCGGACAUCAGAAGAGGGAGGAUGCCAGCCUCAUCCCACUGGGCCAUGUCCAAAGGAACACCUAGCAGACCUGCUGCCUCUCCAGAGCAGCUUUGGAAGGUGGUGGGCGAUUUGCAAGAGGAUCUGUGAAAGAUGAUUAAACAACGUGAUAUAAUUGAAAAAUAAGUUUAUGAAGCCUAAGCCAGUACUGACAGAUGCAGAACAUGUAAGAGUGGCCUCAUGCACUGGGACAGCCUUAAGGACUGGGCUGUCUGGUGCCAAGCAGAUGUCACAGGAGAUGAGUUUUCAGAGGAUCCAGUUCUGGAACUAAAAAAUACAAGAGGAUUCUUUCUCACAUGGAUUCAGAUGAUGAAGGAACGGAGAGCUUUCUUCAGUUUGAGGAAGGAUUGAGCCCCAUGUCUCAGUCCAUGCUUAUCCCACCCCACCUGUGAUGUCCCCAGCCCAGUGCUGGUGGGGAGUCUCCUCCUUGCUGAGCACUCACACAGUGCCUGCAAGCUGCACAUUGCAGAGCAGCUGGAAACACAGGCUCAAACACCCAGACAUUUAAAAAAUAUUACAGAAUCCAUGUUUUAAUAUUCCCUUAAAUUUCUGCAGUUUAGCACAUAUUUACCACAGAGUUAAUAGAGUUAACAGAGUUUACCACAGAGUAUCACAGAGCUAAUUUAGGUCUUCAAAGCCAGAGAAACUUGAGAUAUUAACCACAGAA